This 535-nucleotide ribosomal RNA is filed under the name Bifidobacterium breve. Its description in RNAcentral is "bacterial SSU rRNA". It matches the Rfam family "Bacterial small subunit ribosomal RNA", at positions 161 to 706 of the family's 1533-position model. The record is from RNAcentral. Lineage: Bacteria; Bacillati; Actinomycetota; Actinomycetes; Bifidobacteriales; Bifidobacteriaceae.
UGGUAAUGCCGGAUGCUCCAUCACACCGCAUGGUGUGUUGGGAAAGCCUUUGCGGCAUGGGAUGGGGUCGCGUCCUAUCAGCUUGAUGGCGGGGUAACGGCCCACCAUGGCUUCGACGGGUAGCCGGCCUGAGAGGGCGACCGGCCACAUUGGGACUGAGAUACGGCCCAGACUCCUACGGGAGGCAGCAGUGGGGAAUAUUGCACAAUGGGCGCAAGCCUGAUGCAGCGACGCCGCGUGAGGGAUGGAGGCCUUCGGGUUGUAAACCUCUUUUGUUAGGGAGCAAGGCAUUUUGUGUUGAGUGUACCUUUCGAAUAAGCACCGGCUAACUACGUGCCAGCAGCCGCGGUAAUACGUAGGGUGCAAGCGUUAUCCGGAAUUAUUGGGCGUAAAGGGCUCGUAGGCGGUUCGUCGCGUCCGGUGUGAAAGUCCAUCGCUUAACGGUGGAUCCGCGCCGGGUACGGGCGGGCUUGAGUGCGGUAGGGGAGACUGGAAUUCCCGGUGUAACGGUGGAAUGUGUAGAUAUCGGAAAGAA